GACGCGAGCCAUAAAGAGAAUGGUUACCUGAAGUGAGACGAUGAAAAUGAGCAUCCAUAGAAAUGAAAAAGGUUGAAGAUGAAGAGAGGUGAAGGAGCUGUUUGUUUUUUUAGGAGAGUAUAUAGCGGUGCUGCUGGAGUUUGGAGGCAUUAAGACAGUACCAAGCUCACAUUCGCAGCCUCAACGCCUACAAUCGCCACAAGAAAUUCUUGAACGAUUAUGGUAAAGUUUCCUUAAUCGAGUUUCUUAUUACAGUUACUGCUUUGUUUUUUUUUUUUAGGUUAGAAAAUAUUUGCAUUUCCUUAAUCUAUGUUACUCGUCAAAAAUACUUGCUGUGCUACUUUAUUGCUUAGUUAAUUGGAAAUGGACUUGAAAGGAAUUAUGCAAAUAGUGAGUGUUGUAUUUGUUAUAGGGCUGCUCAGCCUGUUGAAGAGCAUUCUCCAUUACAAGUACGUAAAGCAGGCAAAAAGUUUGAUGCAGAG
Molecule: long non-coding RNA, 482 nt
Filed under: Gossypium barbadense (sea-island cotton)
Lineage: Eukaryota; Viridiplantae; Streptophyta; Magnoliopsida; Malvales; Malvaceae
Description: long non-coding RNA (GBAR_LNC006989)
Source: RNAcentral